This 468-nucleotide ribosomal RNA is filed under the name uncultured bacterium. Its description in RNAcentral is "partial 16S ribosomal RNA". It matches the Rfam family "Bacterial small subunit ribosomal RNA", at positions 28 to 507 of the family's 1533-position model. The record is from RNAcentral.
GACGAACGCUGGCGGCGUGCUUAACACAUGCAAGUAGAACGGGAAGGCCCGGCGUUUGUGGGGUGCUCGAGUGGCGAAAGGGUGAGUAAAACGUGAGUAAACCGCCCUUGACAUUGGGAUAACUUCAGGAAACUGGGGAUAAAACCGGAUAGGAGCAUCUGCGGCAUGGUGGGGGUAGGAAAGUUUCGGCGGUUGGGGAUGGACACGCGGAUUAUCAGCUUGUUAGCGGGGUGGUGGCUUACCAAGGCUUUGACGGGUCGCCGGCCUGAGAGGGUGACCGGGCACAUUGGGCCUCCGGUAGGGCCCAGACUCCAACUGGAGGCAUCGGUGGGAAACAUUGCGCAAUAGGCGGAAGCCUGAUACAGCGACUCCGCGUGCGGGAUGUCGGCUUUCGGGUUGUAAACCGCUUUCGCCUGUGACGUAGCGUGAGUGACGGUAACUUGUCAGAAAGCACCGGCUAACUACGUG